UGUGUAGGCGGUUGUUUAAGUUUGGUGUGAAAUCUCCCGGCUCAACUGGGAGGGUGCGCCGAAUACUGAAUGACUAGAGUGCGGGAGAGGAAAGUGGAAUUCCUGGUGUAGCGGUGAAAUGCGUAGAUAUCAGGAGGAACACCGGUGGUGUAGACGGCUUUCUGGACCGUAACUGACGCUGAGACACGAAAGCGUGGGUAGCAAACAGGAUUAGAUACCCUGGUAGUCCACGCCCUAAACGAUGCAUAUUUGGUGUGGGCAGUUCAUUCUGUCCGUGCCGGAGCUAACGCGUUAAAUAUGCCGCCGUGGGGAGUACAGUCGCAAGGCUAGAA
RNAcentral lists this ribosomal RNA (332 nucleotides) under uncultured bacterium. RNAcentral describes it as "bacterial SSU rRNA". It matches the Rfam family "Bacterial small subunit ribosomal RNA", at positions 568 to 899 of the family's 1533-position model. The record is from RNAcentral.